Long non-coding RNA from Parasteatoda tepidariorum (common house spider), 371 nucleotides. RefSeq lists it as uncharacterized. NCBI's taxonomy places the organism in Eukaryota, Metazoa, Arthropoda, Arachnida, Araneae, Theridiidae. The record is from RefSeq and is a predicted model, not a curated record.
UUACUUAGAAAAUCUGAUAGAUAUCUAUGGUAUAAAAAUAAGAGAGAUUAAAUAAAAUUUUGCACUGUCACGCUUGAUUUCAAAGUUUCUUAUUGACUUCAAUUUACAACUUCAAGAUGAACUCACGAAUUGCUAUCUUCUUGUUCUUCAUUAUUGCAGCGUUAGCUAUUUCAGCUACGUUUGGUGAUGUGGAAGACCAGUUAAAACAAGCUGGUUUGAACUCUGAAAUGGUACAAAAACUCAAAGGUGCCGUUCAAGAGCUGACAAAUUAAUAUGAAAACAAUAAAGAAAAUCUUCAGGAAGAUGUUCCACAAAUUGUAUAAUUAGACUAACCUUUAAUAAUUUGCAAAUAAAUUGAAUUUUGAACUUUA